RNAcentral lists this ribosomal RNA (1034 nucleotides) under Priestia megaterium. Its description in RNAcentral is "bacterial SSU rRNA". It matches the Rfam family "Bacterial small subunit ribosomal RNA", at positions 37 to 1056 of the family's 1533-position model. The record is from RNAcentral. Lineage: Bacteria; Bacillati; Bacillota; Bacilli; Caryophanales; Bacillaceae.
UGGGGGGGCGUGCUAUAAUGCAGUCGAGCGAACUGAUUAGAAGCUUGCUUCUAUGACGUUAGCGGCGGACGGGUGAGUAACACGUGGGCAACCUGCCUGUAAGACUGGGAUAACUUCGGGAAACCGAAGCUAAUACCGGAUAGGAUCUUCUCCUUCAUGGGAGAUGAUUGAAAGAUGGUUUCGGCUAUCACUUACAGAUGGGCCCGCGGUGCAUUAGCUAGUUGGUGAGGUAACGGCUCACCAAGGCAACGAUGCAUAGCCGACCUGAGAGGGUGAUCGGCCACACUGGGACUGAGACACGGCCCAGACUCUACGGGAGGCAGCAGUAGGGAAUCUUCCGCAAUGGACGAAAGUCUGACGGAGCAACGCCGCGUGAGUGAUGAAGGCUUUCGGGUCGUAAAACUCUGUUGUUAGGGAAGAACAAGUACGAGAGUAACUGCUCGUACCUUGACGGUACCUAACCAGAAAGCCACGGCUAACUACGUGCCAGCAGCCGCGGUAAUACGUAGGUGGCAAGCGUUAUCCGGAUUAUUGGGCGUAAAGCGCGCGCAGGCGGUUUCUUAAGUCUGAUGUGAAAGCCCACGGCUCAACCGUGGAGGGUCAUUGGAAACUGGGGAACUUGAGUGCAGAAGAGAAAAGCGGAAUUCCACGUGUAGCGGUGAAAUGCGUAGAGAUGUGGAGGAACACCAGUGGCGAAGGCGGCUUUUUGGUCUGUAACUGACGCUGAGGCGCGAAAGCGUGGGGAGCAAACAGGAUUAGAUACCCUGGUAGUCCACGCCGUAAACGAUGAGUGCUAAGUGUUAGAGGGUUUCCGCCCUUUAGUGCUGCAGCUAACGCAUUAAGCACUCCGCCUGGGGAGUACGGUCGCAAGACUGAAACACAAGGAAUUGACGGGGGCCCGCACAAGCGGUGGAGCAUGUGGUUUAUUCGAAGCACGCGAGACCUUACCAGGUCUUGACAUCCUCUGACACUCUAGAGAUAGAGCGUUCUCCUUCCGGGGACAAAAGUGACAGGUGGUGGCAUGGGUUGUCGUU